RNAcentral lists this ribosomal RNA (253 nucleotides) under uncultured bacterium. Its description in RNAcentral is "partial 16S ribosomal RNA". It matches the Rfam family "Bacterial small subunit ribosomal RNA", at positions 524 to 776 of the family's 1533-position model. The record is from RNAcentral.
UACGUAGGGGGCAAGCGUUGUCCGGAUUUAUUGGGCGUAAAGAGCGUGUAGGCGGCCAGGUAGGUCUGCUGUGAAAACUCGAGGCUCAACCUCGAGACGUCGGUUGAAACCAUCUGGCUAGAGUCCGGAAGAGGAGAGUGGAAUUCCUGGUGUAGCGGUGAAAUGCGCAGAUAUCAGGAAGAACACCCGUGGCGAAGGCGGCUCUCUGGGACGGUACUGACGCUGAGACGCGAAAGCGUGGGGAGCGAACAGG